GACGAACGCUGGCGGCGUGCCUAAUACAUGCAAGUAGAACGCUGAGGACUGGUGCUUGCACUGGUCUAAGGAGUUGCGAACGGGUGAGUAACGCGUAGGUAACCUACCUCAUAGCGGGGGAUAACUAUUGGAAACGAUAGCUAAUACCGCAUGACAAUAGGGUACACAUGUACCCUAUUUAAAAGGGGCAAAUGCUUCACUAUGAGAUGGGCCUGCGUUGUAUUAGCUAGUUGGUAAGGUAACGGCUUACCAAGGCGACGAUACAUAGCCGACCUGAGAGGGUGAUCGGCCACACUGGGACUGAGACACGGCCCAGACUCCUACGGGAGGCAGCAGUAGGGAAUCUUCGGCAAUGGGGGGAACCCUGACCGAGCAACGCCGCGUGAGUGAAGAAGGUUUUCGGAUCGUAAAGCUCUGUUGUUAGAGAAGAACGGUAAUGGGAGUGGAAAUUCCAUUACGUGACGGUAACUAACCAGAAAGGGACGGCUAA
Molecule: ribosomal RNA, 490 nt
Filed under: uncultured bacterium
Lineage: Bacteria
Description: bacterial SSU rRNA
Rfam family: Bacterial small subunit ribosomal RNA
Source: RNAcentral